RNAcentral lists this ribosomal RNA (484 nucleotides) under uncultured bacterium. Its description in RNAcentral is "partial 16S ribosomal RNA". It matches the Rfam family "Bacterial small subunit ribosomal RNA", at positions 30 to 507 of the family's 1533-position model. The record is from RNAcentral.
AUUGAACGCUGGCGGCAGGCCUAACACAUGCAAGUCGAGCGGAUGAAGGGAGCUUGCUCCUGGAUGCAGCGGCGGACGGGUGAGUAAUGCCUAGGAAUCUGCCUGGUAGGGGGGGAUAACGUCCGGAAACGGGCGCUAAUACCGCAUACGUCCUGAGGGAGAAAGGGGGGGAUCUUCGGACCUCACGCUAUCAGAUGAGCCUAGGUCGGAUUAGCUAGUUGGUGGGGUAAAGGCCUACCAAGGCGACGAUCCGUAACUGGUCUGAGAGGAUGAUCAGUCACACUGGAAGUGAGACACGGUCGAGACUCCUGCGGGGGGACGCAGUGGGGACUACUGCACGAUGGGCGAGUGCGUGAUCCAGGCAUGCCGCGUGUGUGCAGAAGGUCUUCGGCUUGUAAAGCGAUUUAAGUUGUGGGGAAGGGCAGUAAGUUCAUCCCUUGCUGUUUUGACGUUACCAGCAGAAUAAGCCCCGGCUAACUUCGUG